GUCUCAGGAGGAAGCGGAGCAGUCCAAAUGUUUUUGAGAUGGCAGCAACGGAAACCAUAACGAGCAUCAUCUUGAUUAAGCUCAUUAGGGUUAGCCUCGGUACGGUCAGGCAUCCACGGCGCUUUAAAAUAGUUGUUAUAGAUAUUCAAAUAACCCUGAAACAAAUGCUUAGGGAUUUUAUUGGUAUCAGGGUUAAUCGUGCCAAGAAAAGCGGCAUGGUCAAUAUAACCAGUAGUGUUAACAGUCGGGAGAGGAGUGGCAUUAACACCAUCCUUCAUGAACUUAAUCCACUGUUCACCAUAAACGUGACGAUGAGGGACAUAAAAAGUAAAAAUGUCUACAGUAGAGUCAAUAGCAAGGCCACGACGCAAUGGAGAAAGACGGA
RNAcentral lists this ribosomal RNA (385 nucleotides) under uncultured prokaryote. RNAcentral describes it as "partial 16S ribosomal RNA". The record is from RNAcentral.